RNAcentral lists this signal recognition particle RNA (264 nucleotides) under Gorilla gorilla gorilla (western lowland gorilla). RNAcentral describes it as "Metazoan signal recognition particle RNA". It matches the Rfam family "Metazoan signal recognition particle RNA". From Rfam's summary of the family: The signal recognition particle (SRP) is a universally conserved ribonucleoprotein. Lineage: Eukaryota; Metazoa; Chordata; Mammalia; Primates; Hominidae. The record is from Rfam by way of RNAcentral.
GUGAGGCAUGGUGGCGGGCGCCUGUAGUCCCAGCUACUCGGGAGGCUGACACAAGAGAAUUGCUUCAACCCGGGAGGCGGAGGUUGCAGUGAGGUGAGAUCAUGCCACUGUACUCCAGCUUGGGCGACAGAGCAAGACUGUAUCUCAAAAAAUAUUAUUUUUUGAGAUACAGUCUUGCUCUGUCGCCCAAGCUGGAGUACAGUGGCAUGAUCUCACCUCACUGCAACCUCCGCCUCCCGGGUUGAAGCAAUUCUCUUGUGUCAG